RNAcentral lists this transfer RNA (72 nucleotides) under Deltaproteobacteria bacterium. Its description in RNAcentral is "tRNA-Arg". It matches the Rfam family "tRNA". From Rfam's summary of the family: Transfer RNA (tRNA) molecules are approximately 80 nucleotides in length. Their secondary structure includes four short double-helical elements and three loops (D, anti-codon, and T loops). The record is from RNAcentral. Lineage: Bacteria; Pseudomonadati; Myxococcota; Myxococcia.
GCCCCCGUAGCUCAACGGAUAGAGCACCAGCCUCCGAAGCUGGUGGUGCGUGUUCAAUUCACGCCGGGGGCA